GAUGAAGAACGUAGUGAAAUGCGAUAAGUAGUGUGAAUUGCAGAAUUCAGUGAAUCAUCGAAUCUUUGAACGCACAUUGCGCCCCUUGGUAUUCCAUGGGGCAUGCCUGUUCGAGCGUCAUUUGUACCUUCAAGCUUUGCUUGGUGUUGGGUGCUUGUCUUUUUGUUAAGACUCACCUCAAAGUCAUUGGCAGCCAGUGUUUUGGUAGUAAGCGCAGCACAUUUUGCGUCUUGGUCCCUUAACAGCAGCAUCCAUCAAGCCAUUUUCUCACUUUUGACCUCGGAUCAGGUAGGGAUACCCGCUGAAAUUAAGCAUAUCAAUAAGCGGAGGA
Molecule: unclassified non-coding RNA, 331 nt
Filed under: soil metagenome
Description: partial contains 5.8S ribosomal RNA, internal transcribed spacer 2, and large subunit ribosomal RNA
Rfam family: 5.8S ribosomal RNA (bases 1-120)
Source: RNAcentral